CCCGCUUCUCGCGGCGGGCGGGGCGGGGGCACGGGGGGAACGCGAAGAACCUUACCUGGCCUUGACAUAGUAAGAACUUUCCAGAGAUGGAUUGGUGCCUUCGGGAACUUACAUACAGGUGCUGCAUGGCUGUCGUCAGCUCGUGUCGUGAGAUGUUGGGUUAAGUCCCGCAACGAGCGCAACCCUUUUCCUUAUUUGCCAGCGAGUAAUGUCGGGAACUUUAAGGAUACUGCCAGUGACAAACUGGAGGAAGGCGGGGACGACGUCAAGUCAUCAUGGCCCUUACGGCCAGGGCUACACACGUGCUACAAUGGUCGGUACAAAGGGUUGCUACACAGCGAUGUGAUGCUAAUCUCAAAAAGCCGAUCGUAGUCCGGAUUGGAGUCUGCAACUCGACUCCAUGAAGUCGGAAUCGCUAGUAAUUGCGGAUCAGAAUGGGUCGUUGAAUACCUUCCCGGGCCCUGUCACACCGCCCGUAUAGGAGGGGA
This 488-nucleotide ribosomal RNA is filed under the name Acinetobacter bouvetii. RNAcentral describes it as "bacterial SSU rRNA". It matches the Rfam family "Bacterial small subunit ribosomal RNA", at positions 920 to 1408 of the family's 1533-position model. The record is from RNAcentral. Lineage: Bacteria; Pseudomonadati; Pseudomonadota; Gammaproteobacteria; Moraxellales; Moraxellaceae.